This is a non-coding RNA of Camellia sinensis, 1317 nucleotides long. NCBI's taxonomy places the organism in Eukaryota, Viridiplantae, Streptophyta, Magnoliopsida, Ericales, Theaceae. The record is from RefSeq and is a predicted model, not a curated record.
AGUAAAUAACGAAACUGAAGAAACAAACCAAAUUUGAUACAGCAAAAUCCGGAUACCAGAUCGACAUAGAGACAGAGAAGGAAGUCCAAAAAUUUUGAAAUUGGUGAAGUAAAUUUGAUUUUGGCGGGUCAAAGAGACGAGAGCCAAAUCAUGAAGCAAGGUUUUAUCAAAUGCCCUCCUUAUCUACCAUCUACCCCACAAAUUUCAUGUGUUUUCAUCUUCUACGAUCAGAGUUCAUUAGAGGUACUUGAGUAGAUUAAAGUCAUAUGUGCGAAAUAGAAGCCGACCGGAGGGUAGUAUGGCAAAAGGAUACCUUACAAAUGAAUGCUUGACAUUUUGCUCAAGGUAUAUGGAAGGUGUUGAGACACGAUUCAACCAGAUGUCUCAAAAUUAUGAUGAGGGGGGUAAUGGUACCGAAGGAUUAUCUAUUUUCUCAAUGCCUGGCCGACCAUUAGGUAAGGGCGUGAUGGACACAAUGGAUGAUGGCACAAAAGAAAAGGCACAUUGAUAUGUGUUAUUUAAUUGUGAGACUGUCAACAAAUUUAUUGAACAACACCGUAGACUUGUUGCCAUACAAAAUCCACGUCUUCGUGAAAUGGCCAUUGAUCGUAUUCAUAGUGAAACAUUUCCGAGAUGGUUUGAUAAACAUGAUUCAUAUGUAAAGCAAAAAGCCUAUGGACCCAUAUCUUCAGUUUCGCUCAGGCAAUGUUGGUGAGUUUACUGGGUCAACUCCAUCUGAGAUUCAGCAAAACUCUAGUAAGCCCAAUGAUAAUGCAGAUGGUGCUAGUGAAAAAAAGAAAACUAGAGGUCCUACUCAAAUGCGUAAUAUUUGGGGUACUCGAGAUGAUAAGUGCCUAACAGUCAAUUGGAUGACAAAUUGGCAACAAAAUUAUCAUCAUUCAUUGGAACUAUUGUACGUGAUGAGAAAAAUGCACCACUCACUUACAAGAAUUGGUAUAAAGUCCCAGAAUAUUACAAAGAUCACAUAUGGGUACUUGUACAGUUAAAGUUUGAUCUUCCAAGUCAUGCUAGGACUUGGGUUAUGAAGUGCUCUGGUAAGAAGUUAAAAGACUGGAAGGCAGACAUAAAGAAAAAUUAUUAUAAAAACCACUUGAGUUGUGACUAACAAAAGCAUUAUAAAGAUAAGAGAGUAUAAGCUGAUCAGUGGAAACACCUUAUUAAGUAUUGGGCCAUGUAACGCCCUCAAAAUAAACCAAUAAAACAUACAAUAUUGACAUGCUUAGACAUAAGGGAAUAAAGCAUAAUUACAUUUCAUCGGAGUAAUUCUUACAAAUAUAUUACAUGUUGACAACAAAA